CCUACGGGUGGCAGCAGUGGGGAAUAUUGGGCAAUGGGGGCAAGCCUGAUGCAGCAACGCCGCGUGAAGGAAGAAGGCUUUCGGGUUGUAACCCUCUAUUAUCAGGGACGAAGCAAGUGACGGUCCUUGAUGAAUAAGCCACGUCUAACAACGUGCCAGCAUCAGCGGUAAUCCGUAGGUGGCAAGCGUUAUCCGGAUUUAAUGGGGGUAAAGGGGGUGCCGGCGGGACGGCAAGUCUGAUGUGAAACCUAGGGUCACACCCCCUAGCCUGCAUUUGAAACGGUACUGCUGGAGGGCUGGGGAGGCAAGCGGAUUUCCUAGUGUAGCGGUGAAAUGCGUAGAUAUACGGAGGAACACCAGGGGCGAAGGCGGAUUGCUGGACAGUGACUGACGCUGAGGCGCGAAAGCGUGGGGAGCAAACAGGAUUAGAGACCCUUGUAGUC
RNAcentral lists this ribosomal RNA (443 nucleotides) under uncultured bacterium. Its description in RNAcentral is "partial 16S ribosomal RNA". It matches the Rfam family "Bacterial small subunit ribosomal RNA", at positions 338 to 795 of the family's 1533-position model. The record is from RNAcentral.